GCCGGGGAUGAGCAAUUGAGCAUAUCACUGACUGUUGGUGAGGUGACUACAUUUCUGAGGC
RNAcentral lists this unclassified non-coding RNA (61 nucleotides) under Caenorhabditis briggsae. RNAcentral's name for it is "Cb167 C/D snoRNA". Lineage: Eukaryota; Metazoa; Nematoda; Chromadorea; Rhabditida; Rhabditidae. The record is from RNAcentral.